GCCCUUUGGCCUGGAAUAACACGAGGAAACUUGUGCUAAUACCGGAUAAGUCUUUACGGAGAAAGCUUUAUGCACCAUUGGAUGAGCCUGCACUUGAUUAGUUUGUUGGUGGGGUAAUGGCCUACCAAGACUGUGAUCAAUAGCUGAUUUGAGAGGAUGAUCAGCCACAUUGGGACUGAGACACGGCCCAAACUCCUACGGGAGGCAGCAGUGGGGAAUCUUGCACAAUGGAGGAAACUCUGAUGCAGCGAUGCCGCGUGAGUGAAGAAGGCCCUUGGGUUGUAAAGCUCUUUCGUCGGGGAAGAAAAUGACUGUACCCGAAUAAGAAGGUCCGGCUAACUUCGUGCCAGCAGCCGCGGUAAUACGAAGGGACCUAGCGUAGUUCGGAAUUACUGGGCUUAAAGAGUUCGUAGGUGGUUGAAAAAGUUAGUGGUGAAAUCCCAGAGCUUAACUCUGGAACUGCCAUUAAAACUUUUCAGCUAGAGUAUGAUAGAGGAAAGCAGAAUUUCUAGUGUAGAGGUGAAAUUCGUAGAUAUUAGAAAGAAUACCAAUUGCGAAGGCAGCUUUCUGGAUCAUUACUGACACUGAGGAACGAAAGCAUGGGUAGCGAAGAGGAUUAGAUACCCUCGUAGUCCAUGCCGUAAACGAUGUGUGUUAGACGUUGGAAAUUUAUUUUCAGUGUCGCAGGGAAACCGAUAAACACACCGCCUGGGGAGUACGACCGCAAGGUUAAAACUCAAAUGAAUUGACGGGGACCCGCACAAGUAGUGGAGCAUGUGGUUUAAUUCGAAGAUACGCGCAGAACCUUACCAACACUUGACAUGUUCGUCGCGACUCUAAGAGAUUAGAGUUUUCGGUUCGGCCGGACGAAACACAGGUGCUGCAUGGCUGUCGUCAGCUCGUGUCGUGAGAUGUUGGGUUAAGUCCCGCAACGAGCGCAACCCUCACUUUUAGUUGCCAUCAUUAAGUUGGGCACUCUGAAAGAACUGCCAGUGAUAAGCUGGAGGAAGGUGGGGAUGACGUCAAGUCCUCAUGGCCCUUACGUGUUGGGCUACACACGUGCUACAAUGGUAUCUACAACAGGAAGCAAGACUGCGAAGUUAAGCAAAUCCCUAAAAGAUACCUCAGUUCGGAUUGCACUCUGCAACUCGAGUGCAUGAAGCUGGAAUUACUAGUAAUCGUGGAUCAGCGUGCCACGGUGAAUGCGUUCCCGGGUCU
RNAcentral lists this ribosomal RNA (1218 nucleotides) under uncultured bacterium. Its description in RNAcentral is "bacterial SSU rRNA". It matches the Rfam family "Bacterial small subunit ribosomal RNA", at positions 128 to 1381 of the family's 1533-position model. The record is from RNAcentral.